Molecule: ribosomal RNA, 298 nt
Filed under: uncultured bacterium
Lineage: Bacteria
Description: partial 16S ribosomal RNA
Rfam family: Bacterial small subunit ribosomal RNA
Source: RNAcentral
GACGAACGCUGGCGGCGUGCUUAACACAUGCAAGUCGAGCGGUAAGGCCCUUUCGGGGUACGACGAGCGGCGAACGGGUAGGAGUAACACGUGGGUGACCUGCCCUCCAGCUCUGGGAGUAAGACCCGGGAAACCGUAGGGUCGUAAUACUGGAUAUGACUCCACGGUGCAUGCCGGUGGGGUGGAAAGCCUUGUGCGGCUGAGGAUGGGCCCGCGGCCUAUCAGCUUGUUGGUGGGGUGAGGCCUACCAAGGCGACGACGGGUAGCCGGCCUGAGAGGGCGACCGGCCACACUGGGA